CGGCAAUUAGAUCCGUAACUUCGGGAUAAGGAUUGGCUCUGAAGAUUGAGAUAGUCGGGCUUGAUUGGGAAACAAUAACAUGGUUUAUGUGCUCGUUCUGGGUAAAUAGAGUUUCUAGCAUUUAUGUUAGUUACUUGUUCCCCGGAUAGUUUAGUUACGUAGCCAAUUGUGGAACUUUCUUGCUAAAAUUUUUAAGAAUACUAUUUGGGUUAAACCAAUUAGUUCUUAUCAAUUAUAACGAUUAUCAAUUAACAAUCAAUUCAGAACUGGCACGGACUUGGGGAAUCCGACUGUCUAAUUAAAACAAAGCAUUGUGAUGGCCCUAGCGGGUGUUGACACAAUGUGAUUUCUGCCCAGUGCUCUGAAUGUCAAAGUGAAGAAAUUCAAGUAAGCGCGGGUCAACGGCGGGAGUAACUAUGACUCUCUUAAGGUAGCCAAAUGCCUCGUCAUCUAAUUAGUGACGCGCAUGAAUGGAUUAACGAGAUUCCUACUGUCCCUAUCUACUAUCUAGCGAAACCACAGCCAAGGGAACGGGCUUGGAAUAAUUAGCGGGGAAAGAAGACCCUUUUGAGCUUGACUCUAAUCUGGCAGUGUAAGGAGACAUAAGAGGUGUAGAAUAAGUGGGAGAUAUUAGACCUCGGUUUGGUAUCGUCAAUGAAAUACCACUACUCUUAUUGUUUCCUUACUUACUUGAUUAAAUGGGAACGUGUAUCAUUUCCUAGCCAUUAUACGGAUAUAUUUAUUAUAUCUUAUGGUAUUGGGUUUUGAUGCAAGCUUCUUGAUCAAAGUAUCACGAGUUUGUUAUAUAAUCGCAAACAAAUUCUUUAAUAAAACGAUGCAUUUAUGUAUUUUUGAUUUGAAAAUUUGGUAUAACUCCAAUUACUCAGGUAUGAUCCAAUUCAAGGACAUUGCCAGGUAGGGAGUUUGACUGGGGCGGUACAUCUCUCAAAUAAUAACGGAGGUGUCCCAAGGCCAGCUCAGUGCGGACAGAAACCACACAUAGAGCAAAAGGGCAAAUGCUGACUUGAUCUCGGUGUUCAGUACACACAGGGACAGCAAAAGCUCGGCCUAUCGAUCCUUUUGGUUUAAAGAGUUUUUAACAAGAGGUGUCAGAAAAGUUACCAUAGGGAUAACUGGCUUGUGGCGGCCAAGCGUUCAUAGCGACGUCGCUUUUUGAUCCUUCGAUGUCGGCUCUUCCUAUCAUUGUGAAGCAAAAUUCACCAAGCGUUGGAUUGUUCACCCAUGCAAGGGAACGUGAGCUGGGUUUAGACCGUCGUGAGACAGGUUAGUUUUACCCUACUAAUGACAAAACGUUGUUGCGACAGCAUUCCUGCGUAGUACGAGAGGAACCGCAGGUACGGACCAAUGGCACAAUACUUGUUCGAGCGAACAGUGGUAUGACGCUACGUCCGUUGGAUUAUGCCUGAACGCCUCUAAGGUCGUAUCCGUGCUGGACUGCAAUGAUAAAUAAGGGGCAAUUUGCAUUGU
This 1488-nucleotide ribosomal RNA is filed under the name Drosophila sechellia. RNAcentral's name for it is "eukaryotic LSU rRNA". It matches the Rfam family "Eukaryotic large subunit ribosomal RNA", at positions 1915 to 3185 of the family's 3401-position model. Lineage: Eukaryota; Metazoa; Arthropoda; Insecta; Diptera; Drosophilidae. The record is from RNAcentral.